Molecule: long non-coding RNA, 13506 nt
Filed under: Musa acuminata (dwarf banana)
Lineage: Eukaryota; Viridiplantae; Streptophyta; Magnoliopsida; Zingiberales; Musaceae
Description: long non-coding RNA (MACU_LNC002643)
Source: RNAcentral
GAAAAGGUCGGAUGAGGCGCUGUUUUGGUUGUUUGUUUUUAACCUUUCUAUAGUUUCCUUUCUGCUUCGUUCGCGAUGUCAUAGUGAUGCCAUUACUUAUCUAUAGCGUCAAAGACUUUGGUAUUUGGUCAAAUAUGCUAUUGUGUUUUGCUUUCAGAAUUAUGUGUUGCUAUCAGUGGUUAUGCUUUUAUUUUGGUUGUUGGAUUUGGGAUUUGCUUAGUAUAUUUAUGAAGAAGAGGAACACGACGGGUUCGUGUUGGAAUAUCAAUGUUGUUUCUUCUUGGAAUUUGGUUGGUUUCUUGUAGAUUGUUGCUAAAAGAUUCGAGUUUGAUGUUUCUUUGUUUCUGUCGCGCCUUAGUCGGGGCAGAGAGUGAAUCCUUAGGAGGAUGAAAAUAUGUUUGUUCAUCGUUGCUGAAGAUUCGAUUAUGGUGUUCUUUGAUUUGAUCUGCCUGUUGGAAUUAGUUAUGUAAUCAAGGUUCUGCUCUACUCGUCCUUUCUGAACCCUAUUCCUGCUUUUUCUUUCCUAAUGCCUCAAUGAUGUGGUCUAAUUACUUAAUCGAAAUUAGGGUUCUUGGCAUUCGGUGCAAUGUUCUAAUGUCUAGUUUUGGAAGCUUUGUGAUGCCAGUUUUAGGGUUUCCGAAGAAUAUGUGAAGUGUUUAUCUACGUUGGUUUAAUGCAAAAGGUGCGUUGGAAUUUAACAUUGGUUGCAUGCUUGAAUCAGAGUUUUUGUCCUUUAAUGUGAGCGACAAAGACUCAGGUUUUUCCUUGCUUUUCGUUUUCUUCCCCCCUUUCCUUUGCUUGUUGGUGUUAGACGGAUAAUCAAAAUUUUGCUUGAGUUGUACUUUUGAUGUUUUGUUUUGCUUUAUUAGUUGUAUGAUUAAAGUGCUGCUCUACUUGUCCUUUCUGUAGUCCAUUUCUGCUUGUUCUUUCCUGAUGCAACCAUGUGGUCUAAUUCCUGCAUCAAAAUUAGGGUUCUUGGCAUUCGGUGCGAUGUUCAAGUGUCUAGUUUUGUAAGGUUUGUGAUGCCAAAUUUUACUUGUCAUGUGAGAAUGAAGAAUUUCCAAAGUGUCGUCUACAUUUGAUUAAUGCAAAAGGUGCAUUGGAUUUCACUCUUAGUUUGCAUGCUUGAAUCAGAGUUCUGUCCUCAAGUUGACUGGCAAAGAUUUAGGUUGUUUUUGCUUGUUGGCAUUAGUUGUUUAAUCAAAGUUCUCUGAGCUGUACUUACAAUGUUUUUUGGUGUCUCCCGAUGAUGGUGUCUUGUUCAUUAUAAUGUCAAAUUAAGACUUUGGUUUUUUUUGUGAGAUAUGCUAAUUUAUUACCAUAUGGACAUAUACAAUGCUACUUUUUGAUGCUUCUAAAGCUUGUUUCAUCUUAGCUCAGCAUCUUAGAUAAAAAGAUUCCGGUAUGUCUUAACUUGAUGGUUGGGAAGGUGACACUAAAAAUAUGAUAGGGAAGGUGACACUAAAAACAGGAAUAAUCUUUGUAUAUGAACAAAUGCUAGAAGACCAUGAUAUGCAGCGGAAUUAAAUGGAACCGCAAUCAAAUAGAACACCAAGAUAUACAUGGAAAACCCUUUUAAUAUGAAAAGUAAAAACCGCGGGGCAAACUAGAGAUAAUCCACUAUGAGAAUAAUGAAUAUACAAAUCUCAAUCUCUUGCCCUAAACCCUAGCAAUAAUCACAAGAGAAUAACUGGGAUACAAUGAUCAUGUCACUGUCCACGAUAUCCAAAACCUCCCCAAGUAAUCACAGCAAGAGUCUACUAUAGAUUUGAUCUAACCUGAGAUGAGAACACUGCUAGAUGAUUGAGAACAGUCUCUCUGCGUUGUCCUUGUCUUCUUCCCUUUCUUUCUCUUUCUUUUCUAUCUUGUUUUCCUCCUUUUCUUUGGAAUCCCGUGGCUAUAUCCUUCUCCCACGUUGCUGCCCUAUUUAUGCCUUUUUCUGUCUCCAAAACGCAGUCACCACACCCCCCCUAAUGUUAAUUAGGGUUAGGUUAAGAGGGGGUGAGCUAUGGGCUGCCCAAGCCCACUAUGGGCUGAAUUUGUGGGCUGCCAGCCUAACAAUCUCCCCCUUCAGACCAUAAGGGAGGCUGUCCCAUGACUCCUCAAUGUGAAGUCAUGCCGACCAGCUGUCGGCAUAUCUCCUGUCUUUCUUUUGGUAAAGUUUUUAUCAAUAUGUUUGCUUCGUUGUCAUCUGUGUGAAUUUUCUGAAGCUGCAACUGCUUCUCUUCAAAUACAUUUCGAAUCCAGUAGCAUAUGACAUCUAUAUGCUUUGACUUGGAAUGAAACAUUAGGUUCUUAUACAAAUGGAUGACACUCUGGCUGUCACAAUGCACCACAUAAUUUUCAUAUUUCAGCCUUAAUUCUUGUAAGAAUUCUUUCAUUCAUAACAUUUCUUUGCAUACCUCUGUAGCAGCAAUAUAUUCUACUUCUGUGGUGGAGAGAGCAAUACGCCUUUGCAACUUGGAUUGCCAUGACACAGCUCCCCCUGCAAAAGUAAGUACAUAACCUGAAGUAGACUUUCUCGUAUCUAUAUCUCUUGCUAUAUUUGCAUCUGUGUAACCUGUCAACACAUGUGGUCCACCUCCAAAGCUUAAACAAACCUUAGAGCUCCCUCUGAGGUAUCUAAAAAUCCACUUCACUACUACCCAGUGCUCUUUGCCUGGAUUUGCAAGAAAUCUGCUAGUAACACCAACUGCAUAUGCGAUAUCUGGCCUCGUACAUACCAUUGUAUACAUUAAACUUCCAACUGCUGAAGCAUAAGGAACCUUUUGCAUUUUCUCCUUUUCCUCAUCACUUGAUGGACUCUGUUCUGAGCACAACUUGAAGUGACCUGCAAGAGGAGAACCAACUGGUUUUGCAUUGCUCAUACUGAAUCUUUACAAUAUCUUCUCGAUGUAUUUCUCAUGUGACAACCAAAUCUUCUUAUUUUUUCUGUCAUGGGAAAUCUGCAUAUCUAGUAUUUGCUUUGCUGGCCCCAUGUCCUUCAUUGCAAAAGACUCACUCAGUUCCUUUUUCAAUCUGUCAAUUUUAGACAUAUCUUUUCCAAGAAUAAGCAUGUCAUCAACAUAAAGUAAGAGAAUAAUAAAAUCCUCACCAAACAAUUUGAUAUACACACAAUGAUCUGAAGUUGUUCUUUUGUAUCCAUUUUCUAUCAUAAAUGAAUCAAACUUUCUGUACCACUAUCUUGGAGCUUGCUUUAGCCCAUACAAGCUCUUCUUCAAUUUGCAGACAAAGUUCUCUUUACCUUUAACUUUGAAGCCUUCUAGUUGCUCCAUAUAAAUUUCCUCCUCCAAAUCCCCAUGAAGGAAAGCUGUCUUCACAUCUAAUUGCUCAACCUCCAAGCCCUGGCUAGCAGCAAUACCUAGAGCAACACGAAUAGAAGACAUUUUAACAAUAGGAGAAAAAAUCUCUUCAAAGUCAAUACCUUUCUUUUGACCAAAGCAUUUCACAAUCAAUCUAGCUUUGUACUUUAGUUGAGAACAAUAUUCUUGAGUCUUCAACCUGAAAACCCACUUGUUCUUCAAGGACUUCAUUUCAUUUGGUAGUAGCAUCAAAUCAUAAGUGUGGUUAUUCUAAAGAGCAUCAAUCUCUUCCUGCAUAGCAACUAACCAUUUCUCUUUCUGCUCACUUUCAACUGUUUCCUGGUAACUCUCUGGUUUACCUGCAUCAGUAAGCAUCACAUACUCAUCUGUAGAGUAUCUUUUGGAAGGUUGACAUUGUCUAGAAGAUCUUCACAACGGAGGUUCUGCGGGAAGUUGCUCUCUAACUUCUUCUUGCUCGACAUGUCCUGCAGGUAGAUCAACAUCAGACUCUACACUAUCUUCCUGCACAUCUCCCCCAUCACCCUGAUAUAUUGGAGGAGUAAUUGGGUCACAAUCUGCUAAUCCUUCUGUAGAAGUAUUGGCUGGUGCCUUCUUCUUCAAAUCUUCAAAAGUUUGAUCCUCAAAGAAGACUACAUCUCUACUUCUAAACACCUUCUGCUUUUCUGGAUCCCAAAGUCUGUAACCAAAAUGAUCAUGUGAGUAGCCAAGAAAAAUAUAUUCUUUAGACUUACCAUCUAGCUUGGACCUCUCAUUAUCUGGAAUAUGUGCAAAUGCACAAUAACCAAACACUCUCAAAUGCUUGUAGGAAACAUCUUUCUCUAACCAUACAUGCUCUACAACAUAACAUCACCAUCUAGGGUUGUACAUUGUCACGACCUUAGCUAGAAUUGCCUAAGGUGUGAGGCACGCUUGCGGCCAAAGACGCGAAUUUAGCCUGCGUUGCCUAAGUCACGAGUCACCCUUGCGACAAAGACGCGAACUUAGCUUGCGUUGCCUAAGUCACGCUCCGCCCUUGGGAUAUUGCUCCGUAAGGAUCAGCCCACUUGUAACCUCUCACAGGUCCCGAAGGACCUGUAAAAAGAUAAAGUUGAUUAGUUCGAAAGAACGAGCGACGGACAAGUCCCGACGUCUCGCGAAAAGGGGAAGCUUUACAAGCAAUUCAGCGAGCACCUUGCGUGCACAAGAGAAAAUAGGGAGAGGGGGAAAACAAGGGCUUUAGAAGCUUGAAUGAACAGCUGCAAGCCCACAAACAACCGCUCACCUGGUCCCGGGCGCGACAACAAGUUCCUGUCAAGACAAUGUGCGAACUUGCGAAAGAGUGUUCAACGCCCGGUAUAUAUCUGAAGCCCCAUCCAGCCCUGUGCCACCCGGGGGGUUCAAAGGGGCUGAGAUGGCUGAUGUUUUGGUGAGCGGAGGCAGAUUCCAGAAAUCAGCCCGCAACACGCGAAAACGAAGCUGUUUUGGGCUGUUUUGCUCGGUUCGGUGAGCGGUCGCUUGUAACACUGCAGCUUGUUCGAACUUAUAUUUUUACAAGAAAAAUGACCCAAAAGCAAGAGAAAAUAUGUUGUCAAGCAACUGUACAUGUAGGUGUGAGCGACGAACGGUUCGUUGAACGGAGUUGUUGCGAGUGCACGACGACCGUUCGGGACAUUCUCCUCCACUUAAACUGUUGACGCCCUCGUCGACGCUUGUUGGUAGUUGUUGAUGAUUUCUUCUUCAUGUCGCAGGGCAUCUUCAGGCUCCCAAUUGGCUUCAGUUCGGGGAAGCUUUCGCUACUUCACCAAGUACUCUAUCUGCUCAGCUCCGUUGGAUAGCUUUAUCUUGCCGUAUGCCAUAAUGGUUUCAACUUGCUUCUCGUAGGAGGCUGUGAUGGGAGGUAGCUGAGUUGGAACACUUCGGGCAGCAUCUUGCGGAUCCGAGUGGUAGGCUUUUAGGUUGCUGGCGUGAAGAAAGUUGUGAAUUUUGAACCACGUCGGUAGCUACAACUUUUAAGAGACGUUGCCUACCGUGCUGAUAAUUGGGAAGGGCCCUUCAUACUUGCGCACCAAUCCUUUGUGGACUUUGUUCCUAAAGAAUUGGAGUGAUGCUGGUUAGAGCUUUACCAACACCAAAUCGCCAACUUUGAACUCUUACGGUCGCCUUCCCAAGUCUGCCCACUUCUUCAUCCUUUUUGCCACCUUCUCCAAGUAAGCCCGCGUAAUAUCUGCAUUUUGAUGCCACUCCUUUGCGAAAUGGUAGGCUGACGGACUACUCGCAGUAUACCCAAUGGCCAUGGUGUGCGGAGUCGACGGUUGUUGUCCAGUUAUGAUCUCGAAGGGGCUCUUAUUGGAUGCAGAGCUCCGAUGCAAGUUGUAGGAGAAUUGGGCAAUAUCCAAUAGCUUCACCCAAUCUCGUUAGUUGGCACUCACGUAGUGACGAAGAUAUUGCUCCAAGAGCGAGUUUAUCCUUUCAGUCUGGCCAUCUGUCUGGGGGUGGAGGCUUGUAGAGAAGUAUAACUUUGACCCCAACAAUUUGAAUAGCUCGGUCCAGAAUCGUCCCAGGAACCGAGCGUCUCGAUCACUAAUGAUAUUGUGCGGGACUCCCCAAUACUUCACCACAUCCUUCAUCAUCAGCUUGGCCGCCUCCUCUGCUGAACAGUGUAGGGGAGCAGCAAUGAAGGUUGCAUACUUUGAAAACCGAUCGACCACCAUGAGUAUCGAUCUGAGUCUCCUUACAAGUGGCAAGCUUGAUAUAAAGUCUAAGGAAAUGCUCUCCCACGGCCUUUCUGGUACGGGCAACGGCUCCAAAAGUCCCACCGGCUUCUGCUACUCCACCUUGUCUUGUUGGCAAGUAAGGCAUGUUCGAACAUAUUCCUCCACAUCAGUCCCCAUCUUCGGCCAAUAGAAGGCCCUCUCCUCGAGAGCCAACGUUCUGUGAAUGCUUGGGUGUCCAGCCCAAAGGGAAUCGUGACACUCUUUUAAGAGUUCACGCCUCAAAUUGUCCACUCGGGGAACAUAAACCCUAUUCCCUUUUGUGUAAACGAGUCCAUCCUGGACCCAAAAUCGUCGUGCCUUGCCUUCUUUGAUGAGUUACAUCAGGAUAACUGCCUGGGGGUCACUAUACAGUCCAUCCCUGAUUCGGGAAAGGAAGUUGGAGUGCAACUGACUUGCUUGGCCUCUAUCCUCCAGUUGUACGACAUUCACACAUUCCACUUUCUGACUCAGCGCAUCGGCCACGACAUUCGCCUUCCCGGGCUUGUACUCCAUUGCCAUAUCAAAUUUAGCCAGGAAGUCUUGCCAUCGCGCCUGCUUUGGGGAGAGCUUCUUCUGAGUUUGGAAAUAGCUCAGGGCGAUGUUUUCCGUCCUCAGCACAAAUCGCGACCCGAGGAGGUAGUGUCGCCAAACUCGUAGAUAGUGGAUCUCUGUUGUCAUCUCCUUCUCAUGCACUAGAUACCGCCGCUCGGUCUCGUUGAGUUUGCGGCUCUCGUAGGCCACCGGAUGACCUUCCUGCAUGAGUACUCCCCCAAUAGCAAAGUCCGAAGCGUCUGUAUGGACUUCAAAGGGCUCUCCAUAGUCCGGCAAUUUGAGCACCGAUUCUUCCAGAACAACAGCCUUCAGAUCUUGGAAUGUUAUUUCACAUCUGUCAGACCACUUCUAAGGCUGCUCCUUCUUCAGCAACUCCGUCAGUGGAGUUGCCCGCUUCGAAUAUCCCGCUAUGAAGCGUCGAUAGUAUUUGACGAAACCAAGGAAGGAUCUCAACUCUGGCACCUUCUUAGGAGUUCGUCAUUCCGCAACUGCUUGCACCUUCGACUUAUCCAUCUGAAUGGAGCCAUCACCGAUUCGAUGCCCCAAGAAUAAGAUCUCAGUUUGGGCAAAGUAGCAUUUCUCCUUUUUCACGAACAAGGUGUUCUCCCUGAGAACCUUGAAAUUUGUCCGAAGGUGUUUGACAUGCUCCUCAAGCGUUUGACUGUAGACGACGAUAUCGUCCAAGUAGACAAUCACGAACUUAUCCAAAUACUCCUUGAAUAGCUGGUUCAUGAGAGUGCAGAACGUGGACGGAGCGUUGGUUAAGCCGAAGGGCAUCACCAAGAACUCAAACGCUCCAUACCUGGUCACACAAGUAGUCUUCGCUUCGUCGCCUUCAGCAAUGCGUACCUGCCAAUACCCCGACCGAAGGUCAAGCUUCGAGAAAUACUUAGCUUUUCCCAACUGGUCGAACAAGUCCGCGAUGAGCGGGAUGGGAUACUUGUUCUUCACUGUCACUUUGUUAAGGGCUCGGUAAUCGACGCAUAAUCGGAGGCUCCCAUCUUGUUUCUUCUGGAAGAGAACUGGAGCUCUGAAAGGUGCUUUAGAGCUGCGGAUGAGACCACUACUUAGCAGUUCACCUAACUGCUUUCUGAGUUCUGCCAACUCUGGCGGCCAUGCGGUAGGGUGGUCUCGCUGGAGGCUUCACUCCUGGCUCCAGCUCAAUUUUAUGAUCCAUGCCCCUGCGUGGUGGAAGAGUCUUCGGCAACUCAGGUGGCAUAAUGUCAGUGAACUCUUUCAGGACGUUCGCCACCACAGCAGGUUCAUGAUUGGCCUCCUUGUCGAGUGGCUCUAACUUCAUAGCCGCCACGAAUGUUAGUUUGUCUUUUCGUACCCCCUUCUUCAAUUGCAAUGCCGAUAUGUGUUGGGGCUCCUUGGUUCAUCUCCGAGAGACGGGAACCACGCAGGGGUCGUCACCUCCCAUCAUACAUAGGGAGUUCAAGAAUGGCAUUGGCACCAACUUCACCGCGUGCAUAAACUCCAUUCCAAGAAUCACUUGGAAGUCAUCCAAUGGCACGACCAUCAUGUUGGUGUUCCCGCUCCACGUCUCGAUUUUGAUGGGAACUCCCUUCGCUAACCCGGAGAUUCGCCUGGCCUCCGAGUUCACCGCCUUCAUUCGGCUUGGGCUCUUCUCCAAGAUCAACCCAAGUCACUGUGCUUCUCGAUCAGCUAUGAAGUUGUGGGUAGCGCCCGUGUCCACCAUUGCACGGGUCGUUUGGCCAUUUAGCUUGAUGUCCACAUACAUCAGCUCACUUCUUCUUGCUUUUUGUAACUUUGUCUUCAUAUUCUCCCCCACGUGACUCCGCAUAGCGUUCAACAAAAGCAUUGCUCCCAUUCAGGGUCCUUGCGACUCCUCGUCGUCGCUGCUGGAUUCAGAACUGCUCGAACUAAGAGCAACAGCUUUGCCCUUGUCCGAUCGGGGGGGGGGGGGGGGGGGGUGGAUGGAAGCCGUCAAAGCAUUGAGUGCCUGUUUUUGUGGGCACUCCCUCACCAUGUGUGGUCCUCCGCACAAGAAACAUCCUCCAGGUUUUGAGGCCUUGCCUUUCGGGUUCGGCCCUUUGUGGGAACUCUUCUUCUUUUGCUCGCCCCCGAGCUCCUUCCCUCGAGAAUGUUUUGGAGGGCGAUUGCCUGAAGAUUGUUUCCUUCUUCCUGGGUCUUCAGAGGAAACAAAGUCGGUGAGCCUUUUUGCAGUAGCAAUUACCCCGACGACAUCAGUAACAUUCCUUCGAUUUAGCUCCUGUUGAGCCCAUGACUUCAAACCAUCGAGGAAGCUGAACAACUUGUCCUUCUCAGACAUGUCCUGUAUGUCCAGCAUUAGUGCAGAAAAUUGUUUCAUAUAGUCUCGGAUGGUGGUACUCUAGCGGAGUUGUCUCAACUUCCUUCUUACGACGAACUCUGUGUUCUUCGGUAGGAACUGAGUUCUCAACUCCCGCUUCAAGUCCUCCCAUGUGUCGACUCGACACCAACCUUGUUGGAUCUCCUCCCAACGGGUUCGCCACCAAAGUUUCGCAUCUCUGUUUAGAUACAUUGUUGCUAUAGAAACUUUGGUAUCUUUAGAAUUGGGCCUCGUAGCUCGAAAGUAUUGUUCCAUGUCGAACAGAAAGUUCUCGAGCUCUUUGGCAUCUCUGGCCCCUCCAUAUCCAUGAGGCUCGGGUGCCCUCAAAUUUUGUGGCAGUGCAACACGGGUGUUGCUUCCUCCCGCAUUUAGUGUUCCUGUGAGCAUGACCACCUUUGAAGUGAGUUCCGCCACAACAUCCUAUAAGUGUUGCACGGAGUCUUUGGUGUCAUCAGACAGUCGGUCAACUAGGGCCUCGACCUUGUCAAUCCUAGACUUCGCUUCCUCUUGCGAGCUCUCUACCCCAACAAGCCUUUGUUGGCCAUGGUAGAGUUCCUCCAUGCUCGCUUCAAGAACAUCCAGGCGGGUUUCCGUCGUUGUGAGUCUCUCCUUGUGACUCUUUUUCCCAGUUAGCGCUCCAGAUUGCGCUUCCUCCGCUCGCGGAGAGUAACCAACUUCUCGCUCAUCAUGUUCGCUGUCGCGCUCCUCUUGAGUGGCUACAAUAGCAUGAGAGCGAGUGUGCACAUGCAGCCCACCUGCGGCUGCUUGGGGCAAGGGUCCGGCUUGCCCCAUCUUGCUUGAUUCGCCACGAUGCUUUGCCAUGGAGAAGUUACGAAGUUCGUUCGCUGCUCGCUCGAAGUGCUUGCCCGCUCUGAUAUCACAAUGUCCUGGCCUUAGCUGGAAUUGCCUAAGGCAUGAGACACCCUUGCGGCCAAAGACGCGAACUUAGCUUGCGUUGCCUAAGUCGCGAGUCACCCUUGUGGCAAAGACGCGAACUUAGCUUGCGUUGCCUAAGUCGUGCUCCGCCCUUGCGAUAUUGCUCCAUAAGGAUCAGCCCACUUGUAACCUCUCGCAGGUCCGAAGGACUUAUAAAAAGAGAAAGUUGAUUAGUUCGAAAGAACGAGCGACGGACAAGUCCCGACGUCUCGCGAAAAGGGGAAGCUUUACAAGUAAUUCAGCGAGCACCUUGCGUGCACAAGAGAAAAGAGGGAGAGGGGGAAAACAAGGGCUUUAGAAGGUUGAACGAUAGCUGCAAGCCCACAAACAGCCGCUCACCUGGUCCCGGGCGCGAUAACAAGUUCCUGUCAAGGCAACGUGCGAACUUGCGAAAGAGUGUUGAACGCCCAAUAUAUAUCCGAAGCCCCAUCCAGCCCUGUGCCACCCAGGGGGUUCAAAGGGGCUGAGAUGGCUGACGUUUUGGUGAGCGGAGGCAGAUUCCAGAAAUCAGCCCGCGGCACGCAAAAACGGAGCUGUUUUGGGAUGUUUUGGAGUUGUUUUGCUCGGUUCGGUAAGCGAUCGCUUUGUAACGCUGCAGCUUGUUCGAACUUACAUUUUUACAAGCAAAAUGACCCAAAACCAAGAGAAAACAUGUUGUCAAGCAGUUGUACAUGUAGGUGUGAGCGAUGAACGGUUCGUUGAACGGAGUUGUUGCGAGUGCUUGACGACCGUUCGUGACAACAUGGUGAUAAGUUGAUCACAUCAACUGUAGUCCUCAAAGCCUCAUCCUAAAACCUUUUGGGUAGCUUGGCCUGUGAAAGCAUAUAUCUGAUCUUUUCCAUGAUGGUGCGGUUCAUCCUCUCUGCAAUUGCAUUAUGCUGAGGUGUACCAAGAACUGUCAUCUCAUGUUAGAUCUCAUGUGACCUGCAAUAGUCAUUAAACGAUCCUGUAUACUCACCACCAUUAUCUGAUCUUAUGCAUUUCAAUUUCCUUUUUGUCUCCCUUUUAAUCCUAGCAUGAAACUCUUUGAAGACAUUAAUUACCUGAUCUUUAGUCUUCAAAGCAUAGGCCAAACUUUUCUGGAAAAAUCAUCUAUAAAAGUGACAAAAUAAAGUGCACCACUUAUACCAAGAACAUCAACAGAUCCAUCAUGAGUUUUUGUCCUCAAAGGACCACAUACAUUUGUAUAAAUACAGUCUAAGACAUGCAUUUUUCUAGAUAAAACAGGACUAGCAAAUAAAACUCUAUGUUGUUUACCUGCCAAACAAUCAAUACAAGGGUUCAGAUGUAUACCUUUGAGGUCUGGUAAUAUCUCUCUUGGAAAGAGCUUGCAGCCCCUUCUCGCUCAUGUGUCCCAAUCGUCUAUGCCACAACUCCAUGCUGAAGUCUUUUUCUGUAGCAUUUAACUGCUCACCAUAAGCUUUAACCUGCAACCUGUACAAAGUAUGACAUUUCUUUCCAUUAGCUAUAACAAGAGAACCCUUACUGAGCUUCCGUUGCCCUUUGUGAAAUCUGCUUUCAUAGUCUUCAUCAUCUAGUCUUCCAACUGAAAUUAGAUUCAGCCUCAAGUCAACCGCAUGCCUCACAUCCUUAAGCCACAACUUGCAGCCAAGGUUGGUCUUUAAAUGGAUAUCACCCAUGCCUAUGAUGUCUACUGUGUCAUAGUUGCCCAUCUUGACAACACCAAAAUUUUCAGACCUAUAUGUAGCAAAAAACUCCCUCCGUGGUGUAGCAUGAUAAGAAGCACCUGUGUCAAUCACCCACUCAAGAUCCUGACACACACAAGAAAAAAUAUCAUCAGAAGGAGAUAAAAUCAAAUAAUCACCACCCUGCAUUAUAGUUGUGAUAUUAUCUUUUGACUCUAUAGACUCCACUUCUUUUCCCUUUUUUUUGCUCUUCUUAUGUUGCUUACAUUGGUUCUUGUAAUGUCCUUUCUCACCACAAUUGUAGCAAACAAUAUCUUUUCUUGAUCUUGACUUGCUUCUACCCAUGCAUGAAUUGCUUCUAGACUUUGACCUUCCUCUAUUCUCUGAGAUAAAUGCUUGUGAAUCAUUCUGAGAUGUUGCUGAACUCUUUCUUCUCAACUCCUCAUUCAACAAACUGCUUAUUACUUGACUCAUAGUGACAACACCAUCUGGCGUAGAAUUACUAAGGGAAACCACCAGUGUCUCCCAACUUUCUAGUAAUGAACUGAGAAGUAACAAUGCUUGCAACUCAUCAUCAAGAGACAUUUUCAUAGAAGAUAACUGGUUAGUAAUACUUUGUAUUUCAUUCAAAUGUUCAGCAAUAGAAGCACCCUCUCUAUAUUUUAUGUUCACAAGUUUUCUAAUCAAAAAAGCUUUGUUGCUAGUUGUUUUUCUUUCGUAGAGACUUUCCAACUUUUUCCAAAGAGAAUAUGCAGAAAUUUCAGUAGAAACAUGGUGAAAGACACUAUCAUCAAGCCACUAUCGAAUAAAUCCAAUUGUUUUUCGAUCUAACAUCUUCCACUCAUCAUCUGUCAUAGUUAUGAGUUUUGCACUAUCCCCCUGCAAAGGUCCAUAUAAAUCUUUGCAAUUCAAGAGAUCUUCCAUUCUUGGUUUCCAUAUCAUCCAAUUGUUUCCAUUUAAACUAAUCAUGCGAGAAACAUUACUGGCCUCCAUGUUCAAAUACAAAAUUUAAAUCACCAAAACCUCUUUUGCUCUGAUACCAGUUGAUAGGGAUAUAAACAGGAAUAACCUUUGUAUAUGAACAAAUACUAGAAGACCAUGAUAUGCAGCGGAAUUAAAUGAAAUCACAAUCAAAUAGAACACCAAGAUAUACGUGAAAAACCCCUUCAAUGUGAAGAAUAAAAAUCACGGGGCAAACUAGAGAUAAUCCACUAUGAGAAUAAUGAAUAUACAAAUCUCAAUCUCUUGCUAUAAGCCCUAGCAACAAUCACAAGAGAACAACUGAGAUACAAAGAUCACGUCACUGUCCACGAUAUCUAAAACCUCCCUAAGUAAUCACAGCAAGAGUUUACUGUAGAUUUGAUCUAACCUGAGAUGAGAACACUACUAGAUGAUUGAGAACAGCCUCUCUGCGUUAUCCUUGUCUUCUUACCUUUCUUUCUCUUUCUUUUCUGCCUUGUUUUCCUCCUUUUCUUUGAAAUCCCGUGACUAUAUCCUUCUCCCACGUUGCUGCCCUAUUUAUGCCUUUUUCUACCUCCAAAACAUAGCCACCACACCCCCCUAAUGUUAAUUAGGGUUAAGUUAAGAGGGGGUAAGCUGUGGGCUGUCGAAGCCCACCAUGAGCUGAAUUUGUGGGCUGCCAACCCAACAAAAUAUACUUUUAUAGUUGUGGGGCUGAUCAUAAUUCCAUCUUCUUUGCAUGUCUCUACCAAUAUUUUUCUACAGGUAAGGUGAAUGUCAUUCCAUGAUGGGUGCUGGCUCUGCUGUUGACGGUGGCUUCUAAAUGAACUUUGGUGAAAUUGUCCUGAAGACCAAAGCAUUAGCAGAUCUUGAUAUUUGUGUUUUUAUAUGAGGUACGUUACAGAUUCAUGAAAUCUAUACUUUUGUUAUGUUUACAGAAGUUUGUAUAAAGUUUGGUGUAUGAUUAUCCUCGACGAAUGUCCUUUCAGGUUCUCACAUCUGUGUAGCUUAUGUUCGUUGAG